CUGGCGUACUAUAUUAUAAUCCUGGUACCUUUGAUAACUAUUUACACCACUGGGUCGAUGCCACUGCUGGUGGACGUUUCGUCCCCGAGGGUAUCACCAGCCCAGUAGUCAACAUUUCGGUGUUGACAUGAAUAUCAAUAAUGUGGUCAUUUUUAUAAAUUUCCUGUUUACAAAACAUUGAAUUUUACGAAAAACUAAGGAUUUUCUUAUCCCAGACAUAGACUACCUUAGUCGUAUUUGGCACAACUUUUUGGAAUUUUGGAUCCUCAAUGCUCUUCAACUUUGUACUUGUUUGGCUUUAUAAAUAUUUUGAUAUGAGCGUCACUGAUGAGUCUUAUGUAGACGAAACGCGCG
This 354-nucleotide long non-coding RNA is filed under the name Mytilus galloprovincialis (Mediterranean mussel). Lineage: Eukaryota; Metazoa; Mollusca; Bivalvia; Mytilida; Mytilidae. The record is from RNAcentral.